CUACGUGCCAGCAGCCGCGGUAAUACGGAAGGUCCAGGCGUUAUCCGGAUUUAUUGGGUUUAAAGGGAGCGUAGGCUGGAUAUUAAGUGUGUUGUGAAAUGUAGACGCUCAACGUCUGACUUGCAGCGCAUACUGGUUUCCUUGAGUACGCACAACGUUGGCGGAAUUCGUCGUGUAGCGGUGAAAUGCUUAGAUAUGACGAAGAACUCCGAUUGCGAAGGCAGCUGACGGGAGCGCAACUGACGCUUAAGCUCGAAGGUGCGGGUAUCAAACAGGAUUAGAUACCCUGGUAGUCCGCACAGUAAACGAUGGAUGCCCGCUGUUGGUACCUGGUAUCAGCGGCUAAGCGAAAGCAUUAAGCAUCCCACCUGGGGAGUACGCCGGCAACGGUGAAACUCAAAGGAAUUGACGGGGGCCCGCACAAGCGGAGGAACAUGUGGUUUAAUUCGAUGAUACGCGAGGAACCUUACCCGGGCU
Molecule: ribosomal RNA, 477 nt
Filed under: uncultured bacterium
Lineage: Bacteria
Description: bacterial SSU rRNA
Rfam family: Bacterial small subunit ribosomal RNA
Source: RNAcentral